RNAcentral lists this small RNA (78 nucleotides) under Salmonella enterica subsp. enterica serovar Infantis. RNAcentral's name for it is "partial RtT sRNA". It matches the Rfam family "RtT RNA", at positions 53 to 130 of the family's 130-position model. Rfam says of the family: This family represents a bacterial cis-regulatory element known as RtT RNA. RNAcentral also lists the same sequence under 4 other names. The record is from RNAcentral. Lineage: Bacteria; Pseudomonadati; Pseudomonadota; Gammaproteobacteria; Enterobacterales; Enterobacteriaceae.
CGAAGCGAGAGAACGUUGCGUCAGCAACGGCCCGCAGGGCGAGCCACGCAGUGGCGAGUCAUCCUCUAUCACCGACCA